This 896-nucleotide ribosomal RNA is filed under the name [Candida] mesenterica. RNAcentral's name for it is "LSU rRNA". The stretch from base 215 to 896 matches the Rfam family "Eukaryotic large subunit ribosomal RNA", at positions 1 to 800 of the family's 3401-position model. The record is from RNAcentral. Lineage: Eukaryota; Fungi; Ascomycota; Pichiomycetes; Serinales; Debaryomycetaceae.
ACUAUCUAUUAUAUAAACUUCACACGAUCUCUGUCUCGCAUCGAUGAGACGCAGCGAAUGCGAUACGUAUACGAUGCAGCUCUCGAUCAUCGAUCUCGACGCACAUGCACGUGGGUAUUCCCACGGUAUGCAUGAUGAGCGGUAACUCUCUCGUCUACGACGGUCUUGCCACUAAAGAAAAAAGUUCAAUAUCAAAAACAUUGUCCUCUUCUCCUCUCCCUCAUCAAUGUAAGACUACCCGCUGAACUUAAGCAUAUCAAUAAGCGGAGGAAAAGAAACCAACAGGGAUUGCCUCAGUAACGGCGAGUGAAGCGGCAAAAGCUCAAAUUUGAAACCUUUCAGGAUUGUAAUUUGAAGAUGGCAUCAAAAAAAGGCUGAAAACUUAUGUUCCUUGGAACAGGACGUCACAGAGGGUGAGAAUCCCGUGCAGUUCAACGCCCUACCUUUCUUGCCAUCAAAGAGUCGAGUUGUUUGGGAAUGCAGCUCAAAGUGGGUGGUAAAUUCCAUCUAAAGCUAAAUACUGGCGAGAGACCGAUAGCGAACAAGUACCGUGAGGGAAAGAUGAAAAGCACUUUGAAAAGAGAGUGAAACAGUACGUGAAAUUGUUGAAAGGGAAGGGCAUGAAGAUAGAUUGUGAGGGUCGUGGGGAGUGGAGAAAAAAUCACGUGGGAACGUGGCCUUCGGGUGUUAUAUCCCACCACAUUUCUCCCACCCCCCACGAGGACCGCUUUUAGGACCCUCACGUAAUAUCUCCACGCCGCCCGUCUUGAAACACGGACCAAGGAGUCUAACGUCUAUGCGAGUGUAUGGGUGUCAGCCCAUCCGCGCAUGAAAGUGAACAGAUAGGAAUUCAUCCACUAUCGACCAACGUCGUUCUCGGACGGCGUGAGUAGGAG